RNAcentral lists this ribosomal RNA (253 nucleotides) under uncultured bacterium. Its description in RNAcentral is "partial 16S ribosomal RNA". It matches the Rfam family "Bacterial small subunit ribosomal RNA", at positions 524 to 776 of the family's 1533-position model. The record is from RNAcentral.
UACGAAGGGGGCUAGCGUUGUUCGGAAUCACUGGGCGUAAAGCGCACGUAGGCGGCUUGUUAAGUCAGGGGUGAAAUCCUGGAGCUCAACUCCAGAACUGCCUUUGAUACUGGCGAUCUCGAGUCCGGGAGAGGUGAGUGGAACUGCGAGUGUAGAGGUGAAAUUCGUAGAUAUUCGCAAGAACACCAGUGGCGAAGGCGGCUCACUGGCCCGGUACUGACGCUGAGGUGCGAAAGCGUGGGGAGCAAACAGG